CCCUUUGGGUCAAAAGUACAGAUACGCCAACAGCUUAAAAUAGAUAUCACAGCGGUGACAAAAUUGUUACCGCGGUGACAUUUUUGUCACUGCGGUAAUAAAUUUAUCACUGCGGUGAUAUAUUUGUAACUGUUGUGAUACUUUGUUUGACCCAAACAGUUUGAUAAGAGCUAAAUCGAACUAACCAAUGAAACAACGUCUUGCAAAACGGCAAAUCGGCGAAUAUUUACUGCGAAGUUUUCAAGAUGUCUGCCUCCAUGGAUACUGUAAACAACUUUUCAGAUCAUGAGUUUGGUAAUUUUAAUCUUCGGACACAAGGAUGACGACAAUUAAGAGUCCAUCAAUGGUUGUGAAAUCAAGGAUAUUCUAUUGGAAGGAAAGACAUGAAUGCAUUCAAGUUUCCUGUGAGCAAUAUGAUUUCCUGACUUUGCCUUACAGUAUAAAACAAGAGAGUUAAACACUUGAAACUUGAAAAGAUGUGGUCCUAGAACCUGAAAUGGCAACUCCAGCUCUCUACAAAAGCAUCAUCUGGAAUCCAACUAUGUACAAUCAAAAAAUUAAUGUGUGUCUUAAUUUUGUCUUUUUAGAGCCCUGACGGGUCUUAAGAUAUCAGAUGUUUUAAAAUUCAUUGUGUUUGUGCUGCAAGUUUUAUGAACUGGUUAUAAAGCUUAUGUAUGAAGAACCGUUUACUGCCUGGUUAGCUGCAGUAGAGCACUCAUAGGAAUUGGGAGAUCUGUGGAAUCCCUUUGUGGCUUGCAAAUUUCAACCUGUUUUCAAAAAUUGCUUAGUUGGUCAGUGUGUUAAUAUUUCAAUUUUCAGGUCUGGUAAAGAAAGUUAUUUAAAGGCAGUGUGCAAGGUUUUCCUUAAUAAUAGCAUGUACACAGGAAAAAAAAGCUUAAUAUUAGAUAUUUUGUUAUAAUCAGUUUGUGGUCCGUCCAUAGCUAAACAUGAACAUAGAUAUUUUUUACUUUUAUUAGUACUAUAUACAUAUUAUAAAUAAAAGGUUGUAUCUUGCAUCUUCUAAUCCUUAAAGUGGCAUGGUGGCCUAGUGUGUGUGUUGUUUAUCUAUGAAAUUUAUACAUGUAUACUAAUAUCUAGGCUACAUUAUGAUGUACUUCUCAAAGAACAGUAUGUUUAAAAUGCAGGUUUAUACUAAUUUAAAUACAGGUACAAAUUAAUCCUGUGUUGUAUAUAGCAGAAUGUCCCUUAUUUUCACUGUUAUCUUUUAAAACUGUUCAGGUACACUUCACCUGCAUAAAACUAGUUCAGAUAUAUAUGUCCCAUAGAGCAAAACAAUUGUCACUAAAUCAUUGUAUAAUCGUUAUUGGCAGUUCACUUCUGUAGUUUCUGAAAUGAAAAAUUGUUGUUACCUACCUUCACUCUUAAUUCAGUUUUAGUGGAAUGCUUAAUUUCAUUUUUUUUUUCUUUAUUAGUUGUAAGUAGUGGGCUCUGUGUUCUGAUUAGUUCCUAAAUUGAACACAUGUUUAAACGUCGGUUGUUAAAUUGUAUAACAUGUUAAUGCAGAAUUGUACCAUAACAUGAAAUUGUAUUUUUUGCUUUGUACAUUGUUUGAAAUGUUACCAUCUUGUUUCUAAUAAAUGUUUUUUAUAAUUCACCAUCUAGUCCUAUUUGCAAAAAAGUGAACCAUUUAAAUAUUGUAUUUAAAGUAUACACCCGUUAGCCUUACUUAAGUCGUGAACAUUUCGUAGGCAUUUGUUAUCCCCAGUAAUAGGCGGAGGGAUAUUGUUUUGGCGCUGUUUGUCCGUCCUUCCGUCCGUCCGGCACUUUUGUGUCCAGAGCCAUAUCUUGUUAGUGCUUUAGCGGAUUUCAUUGAAACUUGGUAUGAGUAUAUUAUAUGGAUAAGAGGAUGAUGUACACUUUGUAUCUUGAAAAAAAUGCUUUUUAAUAUAAUCUUAGAGCUUUAUCUUCACUAACACAUGAGCCAGAGCCAUGAAACUUGCCAUAGUUGUUCUCAAUCAUCUAGGGGUGCUUCACAUUCAACAUCCAUAAUUCUAGGGGCUAAGGUCAUGGCCCUUUGUAUCUUGAAAAAAAUGCUUUUUGAUAGAAGCUUAGAGCUUUAUCUUCAUUAACACAUGAGCCAGAGCCAUGCAACUUUCUAUAGUUAUUCCAAUCAUCUGGGGUUGUUUCACAUUCAACACCCAUAAUCCUAGGGGCUAAGGUCAAGGUCACACAUUGAGGUCAAAGGUCACAAAUUUGAGGAAUUAUUCAUUAAUUGGUAAUUCCUUUACUAUGCAUCAAGGAAUUCUGUUAUAACUGUCACAAUUGUUCUCAAUUAUCUAGCUGAGUUUCAAAUAUAAGAUCCAGGUUGCUAGGGUCAUGGUCAAAGUCACACACAAAGGUCAAAAUCACACAUUUUGAUCAUAUAUAUA
Dreissena polymorpha is the source of this 2390-nucleotide long non-coding RNA. RefSeq lists it as uncharacterized. The record is from RefSeq and is a predicted model, not a curated record. NCBI's taxonomy places the organism in Eukaryota, Metazoa, Mollusca, Bivalvia, Myida, Dreissenidae. The transcript has 3 exons.